GGCUUUUUGAUAAUAAUUUAAAGUUUGGCCUGCCCACUGAUUGAUUGAAGGGCCGCGGUAUUUUGACCGUGCUAAGGUAGCAUAAUCAUUAGUUUUUUAAUUGAAAACUUGUAUGAAUGGUCGGAUAAAAAAAUAACUGUCUCUAAUUAAUUUAAAUUGAAUUUUAUUUUUAAGUUAAAAAGCUUAAAUAAUUUUAAAAGACGAGAAGACCCUAUAGAGUUUUACAUAUAAUUUUUUUUAAGGUUUUAGAAUUAUUAAUUUAGAGAUUUUUAUAUGUUUGGUUGGGGUGACUAAAAAAUUUAAUAAACUUUUUUUAAAUUGAAUCAUUAAUAUAUGAAAAAUUGAUCCAAAUUUUUUGAUUAUAAGAUWAAAUUACCUUAGGGAUAACAGCGUAAUUUUUAUAGAGAGUUCAAAUCGAAAUAAAAGAUUGCGACCUCGAUGUUGGAUUAAAAUUAAUUUAUGGUGCAGAAGCUAUAAAUUUAGGUCUGUUCGACCUUUAAAAUUUUACAUGA
Molecule: ribosomal RNA, 512 nt
Filed under: Agapanthia violacea
Lineage: Eukaryota; Metazoa; Arthropoda; Insecta; Coleoptera; Cerambycidae
Description: partial large subunit ribosomal RNA
Source: RNAcentral